UUAAAAUGAGGAACCGCUCCUUGAAUGUUCUGGACAGAGCACAGAAUUGCUUCUUAAGUCAGCCCGGCGCGGUUGCAAUAGACAGCAAAAAGGUAAACGUUUGCCUGAAAUCCGCACGCCAGCUCCACCACCCCGCCCGAUGGUCCCGGUUCCUCUGGGAAUCGUCCUGUAUGCAACAUCUUCACAAGGGUGGCAGGCAGUUGAAUCUCUGGACUUCGUGAGACCACUGGACAUUUGGCAGAGAACCAGGAAGCCACGGUUCCCUUCUGUGAGUCCCUCAGCCGGAAAACUACAAGGUGUGUGACUGUAGGACGAGGCUUUUUGAAACAUGAUGUGUGACACUUUGAGAAGUGUUUGGAAAGAAACUGGCUGACGUCGAAUGGAAAUUUGAACAUUCACAGAUUUCUUUUCCUAGAUACAGAAACACAAAAGCUUACAUGUACACAUUUAAAAAAAAUUUAAGUUAUCUUUUCUUUCUUGCC
Molecule: non-coding RNA, 482 nt
Filed under: Pongo abelii (Sumatran orangutan)
Lineage: Eukaryota; Metazoa; Chordata; Mammalia; Primates; Hominidae
Source: RNAcentral